AUUGGGGUGGCAGAGCGUGGUAAUUGCAAAAGGCCUAAGCCCUUUAAAUCAGGGGUUCAAAUCCCCUCCCCAGUU
This 75-nucleotide transfer RNA is filed under the name Tanakia lanceolata. Its description in RNAcentral is "tRNA-Leu". It matches the Rfam family "tRNA". From Rfam's summary of the family: Transfer RNA (tRNA) molecules are approximately 80 nucleotides in length. Their secondary structure includes four short double-helical elements and three loops (D, anti-codon, and T loops). The record is from RNAcentral. Lineage: Eukaryota; Metazoa; Chordata; Actinopteri; Cypriniformes; Acheilognathidae.